CCUACGGGAGGCAGCAGUGAGGAAUAUUGGUCAAUGGACGAGAGUCUGAACCAGCCAAGUAGCGUGAAGGAUGACUGCCCUAUGGGUUGUAAACUUCUUUUAUAUGGGAAUAAACUGUUCCACGUGUGGGAUUUUGUAUGUACCAUAUGAAUAAGGAUCGGCUAACUCCGUGCCAGCAGCCGCGGUAAUACGGAGGAUCCGAGCGUUAUCCGGAUUUAUUGGGUUUAAAGGGAGCGUAGGUGGAUUGUUAAGUCAGUUGUGAAAGUUUGCGGCUCAACCGUAAAAUUGCAGUUGACACUGGCAGUCUUGAGUACAGUAGAGGUGGGCGGAACUCGUGGUGUAGCGGUGAAAUGCUUAGAUAUCACGAAGAACUCCGAUUGCGAAGGCAGUUCACUGGACUGCAACUGACACUGAGGCUCGAAAGUGUGGGUAUCAAACAGGAUUAGAUACCCCGGUAGUC
This 460-nucleotide ribosomal RNA is filed under the name uncultured bacterium. RNAcentral describes it as "partial 16S ribosomal RNA". It matches the Rfam family "Bacterial small subunit ribosomal RNA", at positions 338 to 795 of the family's 1533-position model. The record is from RNAcentral.